RNAcentral lists this ribosomal RNA (253 nucleotides) under uncultured bacterium. RNAcentral's name for it is "partial 16S ribosomal RNA". It matches the Rfam family "Bacterial small subunit ribosomal RNA", at positions 524 to 776 of the family's 1533-position model. The record is from RNAcentral.
UACGUAGGGGGCAAGCGUUGUCCGGAAUCAUUGGGCGUAAAGAGCGUGUAGGCGGCUUGGUAAGUCCGCUGUGAAAGUCCAGGGCUCAACCCUGGAAUGCCGGUGGAAACUGUCAGGCUCGAGUCCGGAAGAGGCGAGUGGAAUUCCUGGUGUAGCGGUGAAAUGCGCAGAUAUCGGGAGGAACACCUAUGGCGAAGGCAGCUCGCUGGGACGUUACUGACGCUGAGACGCGAAAGCGUGGGGAGCAAACAGG